Molecule: ribosomal RNA, 101 nt
Organism: Pan paniscus (pygmy chimpanzee)
Lineage: Eukaryota; Metazoa; Chordata; Mammalia; Primates; Hominidae
Source: Ensembl
GUCUAUGGCCAUACCACCCUAAACAUGCCUGAUUUCAGAAGCUUAAGCAGGGUCAGGCCUGGUUAGUACUUGGAUGGGAGAAUAUCUAUCACUCAAAGAUA